GAUGAACGCUGGCAGCGUGCCUAAUACAUGCAAGUCGAGCGAACAGACGAGGAGCUUGCUCCUCUGACGUUAGCGGCGGACGGGUGAGUAACACGUGGAUAACCUACCUAUAAGACUGGGAUAACUUCGGGAAACCGGAGCUAAUACCGGAUAAUAUAUUGAACCGCAUGGUUCAAUAGUGAAAGACGGUUUUGCUGUCACUUAUAGAUGGAUCCGCGCCGCAUUAGCUAGUUGGUAAGGUAACGGCUUACCAAGGCAACGAUGCGUAGCCGACCUGAGAGGGUGAUAGGCCACACUGGAACUGAGACACGGUCCAGACUCCUACGGGAGGCAGCAGUAGGGAAUCUUCCGCAAUGGGCGAAAGCUUGACGGAGCAACGCCGCGUGAGUGAUGAAGGUCUUCGGAUCGUAAAACUCUGUUAUUAGGGAAGAACAAAUGUGUAAGUAACUAUGCACGUCUUGACGGUACCUAAUCAGAAAGCCACGGCUAACCACGUG
Molecule: ribosomal RNA, 497 nt
Filed under: uncultured bacterium
Lineage: Bacteria
Description: partial 16S ribosomal RNA
Rfam family: Bacterial small subunit ribosomal RNA
Source: RNAcentral